RNAcentral lists this ribosomal RNA (779 nucleotides) under uncultured Neocallimastigales. Its description in RNAcentral is "partial large subunit ribosomal RNA". It matches the Rfam family "Eukaryotic large subunit ribosomal RNA", at positions 23 to 649 of the family's 3401-position model. The record is from RNAcentral. Lineage: Eukaryota; Fungi; Neocallimastigomycota; Neocallimastigomycetes; Neocallimastigales.
AGAGAUGUGUGAUGACGCAUAUCAAUAAGCGGAGGAAAAGAAACUAACAAGGAUUCCCUUAGUAACGGCGAGUGAAGCGGGAAGAGCUCAAAUUUGAAAUCUUCAAGGGUUCUACCUUGACGAAUUGUAGUUUAUAAGAAGUGUUUUCUGUUAGUAGAGGUGGCUAAAAGUUCUUUGGAAUAGGACAUCAUAGAGGGUGAGAAUCCCGUAUUUGAUCAUUCCUUCCUAGCUUUGUGAUACACUUUCAACGAGUCGGAUUGUUUAGGGAAUGCAGUCCAAAAUGGGUGGUAAAUUUCAUCUAAAGCUAAAUAUUGGCGAGAGACCGAUAGCGAACAAGUACCGUGAGGGAAAGAUAAAAGAACUUUGAAAAGAGAGUUAAACAGUACGUGAAAUUGUCAAAAGGGAAGCGUUUGACACCAGUGUUGUUUUUCCGAAAAUCAAUUACGAAUGUUUUGUUUUUAAGAAGUUAUGACCUCAUCGGCUUGCUCCUUUCUUUAUGAAACUUUCUUAAUGCACUUUUCGGUUAACAAGUCAACAUCAAUUUCUUUUGUUGUAAAAGGGUAUGAGGAAGGUGGCUUUCUUUUCGGAGAAAGUGUUUAUAGCCUUGUGCCUCUGCAAUCGGAGAGAUUGAGGUCUGCAGCGUAGAUCCUUCGGGGUUAGAUACAUUUGUGCUAAGUUAUAGCUUUUCAUAGACAACUUGUUGACUAUGUUUAGUCUUGUAGCUUACUCGCUGACGCUAUUUUACCUACGCUUAGGAUGUUGAGUAGCGACAUACGCAC